UACGUAGGUGGCGAGCGUUGUCCGGAAUAACUGGGCGUAAAGGGAGCGUAGGUGGUUGCUUAAGUUAAAUGUGAAAGCCCAGGGCUCAACUCUGGAAUAGCAUUUAAUACUGGGUAGCUAGAGUACUGGAGGGGUAAACGGAAUUUCUAGUGUAGCGGUGGAAUGCGUAGAUAUUAGGAAGAACACCGGAGGCGAAGGCGGUUUACUGGACAGCAACUGACACUGAGGCUCGAAAGCGUGGGGAG
This 245-nucleotide ribosomal RNA is filed under the name uncultured Bacillota bacterium. RNAcentral describes it as "uncultured Firmicutes bacterium partial 16S ribosomal RNA". It matches the Rfam family "Bacterial small subunit ribosomal RNA", at positions 524 to 768 of the family's 1533-position model. Lineage: Bacteria; Bacillati; Bacillota. The record is from RNAcentral.